This 253-nucleotide ribosomal RNA is filed under the name uncultured bacterium. Its description in RNAcentral is "partial 16S ribosomal RNA". It matches the Rfam family "Bacterial small subunit ribosomal RNA", at positions 524 to 776 of the family's 1533-position model. The record is from RNAcentral.
UACGGAGGGUGCGAGCGUUGUCCGGAAUCACUGGGCGUAAAGCGCACGUAGGCGGAUCUUUAAGUCAGGGGUGAAAUCCUGGAGCUCAACUCCAGAACUGCCUUUGAUACUGGGGAUCUCGAGUCCGGAAGAGGUGAGUGGAACUCCGAGUGUAGAGGUGAAAUUCGUAGAUAUUCGGAAGAACACCAGUGGCGAAGGCGGCUCACUGGUCCGGUACUGACGCUGAGGUGCGAAAGCGUGGGGAGCAAACAGG